UGGCCAGCACCAAUAGAGGCUGCAGAGCAAUAGGUGUAAGUUGGCAUUUAUAUAUUUGCCAGUUUAAAAAUACAUCAUAGAUAAGGCAAUGAGAAGAGUUUUAAGGACAAUUAGUGAUAUCUUUUGGGUCAAGCAUGAGCGUUUUUGGGUAACGUGCUUGCUUCUCUAACAUAUACUGUGUAGCUUGGUGGAGGUGCCAGCAGCCGAGUCCUUGCAGAUGGGAUGACUCGUGGCCCAGUUGUGCGUCUUCCACGUGCUUGUGACUCUGCAGAAGUGAAAGCCUGGCUUGAAACAUCUGAAGGGUUCGCAGUGAUAAAGGAGGCAUUUGACAGCACUAGCAGAUUUGCACGUCUACAGAAACUUCAUACAAGUAUAGCUGGACGCAACCUUUAUAUCCGUUUCCAGUCCAGGUCAGGGGAUGCCAUGGGGAUGAAUAUGAUUUCAAAGG
This 448-nucleotide small RNA is filed under the name Pongo abelii (Sumatran orangutan). RNAcentral describes it as "retained intron". Lineage: Eukaryota; Metazoa; Chordata; Mammalia; Primates; Hominidae. The record is from RNAcentral.